GAUGAAGAACGUAGCGAAAUGCGAUAAGUAAUGUGAAUUGCAGAAUUCAGUGAAUCAUCGAAUCUUUGAACGCACAUUGCGCCCCCUGGUAUUCCGGGGGGCAUGCCUGUUCGUGCGUCAUUUCACCACUCAAGCCUCGCUUGGUAUUGGGCAACGCGGUCCGCCGCGUGCCUCAAAUCGACCGGCUGGGUCUUCUGUCCCCUAAGCGUUGUGGAAACUAUUCGCUAAAGGGUGUUCGGGAGGCUACGCCGUAAAACAACCCCAUUUCUAAGGUUGACCUCGGAUCAGGUAGGGAUACCCGCUGAACUUAAGCAUAUCAAUAAGCGGAGGA
Molecule: unclassified non-coding RNA, 331 nt
Filed under: soil metagenome
Description: partial contains 5.8S ribosomal RNA, internal transcribed spacer 2, and large subunit ribosomal RNA
Rfam family: 5.8S ribosomal RNA (bases 1-120)
Source: RNAcentral